UACGGGGGGGGCAAGCGUUGUUCGGAAUUACUGGGCGUAAAGGGCGCGUAGGCGGCCUGCUAAGUCGGACGUGAAAUCCCUCGGCUCAACCGGGGAACUGCGUCCGAUACUGGUGGGCUCGAAUCCGGGAGAGGGAUGUGGAAUUCCAGGUGUAGCGGUGAAAUGCGUAGAUAUCUGGAGGAACACCGGUGGCGAAGGCGGCAUCCUGGACCGGUAUUGACGCUGAUGCGCGAAAGCUAGGGGAGCAAACGGG
RNAcentral lists this ribosomal RNA (253 nucleotides) under uncultured bacterium. RNAcentral describes it as "partial 16S ribosomal RNA". It matches the Rfam family "Bacterial small subunit ribosomal RNA", at positions 524 to 776 of the family's 1533-position model. The record is from RNAcentral.